RNAcentral lists this ribosomal RNA (586 nucleotides) under uncultured bacterium. RNAcentral's name for it is "partial 16S ribosomal RNA". It matches the Rfam family "Bacterial small subunit ribosomal RNA", at positions 355 to 1375 of the family's 1533-position model. The record is from RNAcentral.
UGGGGAAUUUUGGACAAUGGGCGAAAGCCUGAUCCAGCAAUGCCGCGUGUGUGAAGAAGGCCUUCGGGUUGUAAAGCACUUUUGUCCGGAAAGAAAUCCUUGGCUCUAAUACAGUCGGGGGAUGACGGUACCGGAAGAAUAAGCACCGGCUAACUACGUGCCAGCAGCCGCGGUAAUACGUAGGGUGCAAGCGUUAAUCGGAAUUACUGGGCGUAAAGCGUGCGCAGGCGGUUUGCUAAGACCGAUGUGAAAUCCCCGGGCUCAACCUGGGAACUGCAUUGGUGACUGGCAGGCUAGAGUAUGGCAGAGGGGGGUAGAAUUUCACGUGUAGCAGUGAAAUGCGUAGAGAUGUGGAGGAAUACCGAUGGCGAAGGCAGCCCCCUGGGCCAAUACUGACGCUCAUGCACGAAAGCGUGGGGAGCAAACAGGAUUAGAUACCCUGGUAGUCCACGCCCUAAAACGAUGUCAACUAGUUGUUGGGGAUUCAUUUCCUUAGUAACGUAGCUAACGCGUGAAGUUGACCGCCUGGGGAGUACGGUCGCAAGAUUAAAACUUAAAUGAAUUGACGGGGUCAUAGCUGUUUCCU